AAAGAAGGUAAAACACUUUUGUGGACCCCUCCAAACAAAGUAGAACCUUGGCACUGUGCUCACUGUGUCCAAUAGGUUAGUGGUUUCCAUGCUCAGGGACUUACUUCCCAUAUCACCUCUUACAGCAAUCAAGAUUAAACAGGCUUCUUUGAAGGAAGGAGGGUAGAGUGGUCCUAACACAGGGCAAAAUUUGAGGUGAGAGUCAUAUGAUUCAGCUGCAGGGGUGGGGGUGGCCUUUAAAAAAGGCUUUUUCCUAGACUGAAUAAUGUCAAACAUUUUUCAAAAAAUUCAAGACAUAUUGAUAAUUUGUUAAUUAAAUAAAGCACAGGUUACCAUGGGUGUUAAGAGUCAUCUAUUUUGUUUCAGUAUACUCCAACCCAAGUUCAUCUGAAAUAGAAUAACCGUACUUUAUAUGAUGCUUCACAAUCAACAAAACACUUCCACUCGUGUCAUUCAUGGGAUUUAUACACCAAACCUGAAAAGCUGUUAUCACUUAUUUUUUUAUUUGACAGUCUCUUCACCUGCCUACCCUCUCUGAGUAAACAAGCUGAAAUAAAUAGGACGUUAAGAGUUUUAUCAACUCCUUUGCUCUCAGUAAUUUCGUCACAGAAGAAACAAAUCGAAAGAAGGAAAUGGCAUCAGGCAAGUCUGAUCUAGAAAAAUAUGAAAUUCCGAAGAGCAUGAAGACUGAGUCAUACAUUAUGUAGGGGGGAAAAAUGAAGGCUGGUUGAAAUUAGGCAGCAUGAAUCUUGAUGCUUUAAGAAAAUCAGGUAAAACAAAGAAUGCGACCAGAGAUUUCAGAAGAGCAUGUGACUGAGUGACCAAAAACUAUCCAAACUGACCAUGCCAAGCACAAACGUGAUAGUGCUUUUCACUGUAAGUUUGGCUGACCAAAAAGAAAUUACAUUUAGCUAAGUUUGCAAGGCCAGGAAGCAAGCAAUUGCAUAACUGAAUGUGUACCUCCAAUCUUAGUUCAAUUUCAUUUUGAUUAGUCACAGAAGAGUUCGAGAAUAGGCACAAGAUUUUUCUGGCAUAAAUUUCAGAAGCUUUAAAAUAUGCAUGCAUCACUUAGACACAAAAGUGAAAUUAGUCUUCAACUGUCUGGAUUUUAUAUAGCCUGUAUCUUAUUUACUUCUUUGGCAGUAUAGAUACAAAUACAGUGUGUUUUUCUAUAAAUAACCAAACUGUGUUAUGCAUUUUAUAUUCUUCAAGUUUUUAGUCUCUGGAUCAUGAAAUCAAGGACACAUUUCAGAUUCAGCCCCCUGAAGCUAGACCGGAUUACCUGCAGCCAGCAUCUGAUUCAGAAAGCCAGCAGCAGACAGGAUGCUGAGCUGCAUCCUGGCUUCAACACAGCAUUGAGAUGCUUAAGGUGACGUCAACACAGCAUGCAUCCCAUCCAUGCAGGAAAUGUGAUGCUAUAGCAUUGAAUUUCACUUAAAAAAGACCAACAGGACUACUUGCCUCCUUCCCCUCCCCCACGCGCACAUAUUUUAUUUAUUGGUACCUAGAUUGGGACCCAAUUUUUAGAUAAACAUUAUAAUGAAGAAACAAUAUGGAUGGGUUGCAUCACCUGUCAAAGAUUUGAAAAACAGCAAAUGUAUUUCUUCAUUUAAAAAUUCUUAUCAACAAGAAAAUUUCUAAACUACAAAAGACCAAUGUAGCCUGUUCAAUGAUGUUGUUUAGAAGUGAAUGUACACAUUUAACAAUCUAUAUUUUGGUUUAGAGUUAGCUACUCCUUAGCUGAACUAACAGUGUUAUAAGCAACUUAUAAAAUAUUAAGAUGACUUAAACAAAGCACAGAUUUGCUUUAAAAUUUGAAACUUACCCCAUUCUGGUAAUGGCUUGUGAUGUUUGUAUGUCUCAACUGAUAUAACGACAGCCACAUAGAUCAUUAAGAAACUCUGAACAAUUUCAUUGUAUUCAAGGGAAAAUUUUCACUUUAAAAAAUGCAAUGGCAGCUAUCAAAAUGCUAAAACUUUCUAUCAAUAUAGGCCUUUUAUAGCCUAUAGAUGCCCUGUGUUUGCUUUGUCUCACUGUUCCAAAAAAAUAAUGACAAUAAGUUUGAGAAAAUCAAUGAAUUUCAGAAAUAGAGAUUGGUUUCAUCAGCACCAAGGAGGUGGAGCAGGAGCUUCUCCACUGGAAGCUAGGCACCUACUUAGAGAAUCUGGAGACCAGAAUGCUUGGAGGACAGUGCUCUGAAGAGAGGUCUGUGGAAGCACAGCCAAGAGCAAAGGAUUGCAGGGGCCAAAGGAA
Peromyscus maniculatus bairdii (prairie deer mouse) is the source of this 2253-nucleotide non-coding RNA. Lineage: Eukaryota; Metazoa; Chordata; Mammalia; Rodentia; Cricetidae. The record is from RefSeq and is a predicted model, not a curated record.